Psammomys obesus (fat sand rat) is the source of this 1749-nucleotide long non-coding RNA. RefSeq lists it as uncharacterized. The record is from RefSeq and is a predicted model, not a curated record. The transcript is spliced from 4 exons. Lineage: Eukaryota; Metazoa; Chordata; Mammalia; Rodentia; Muridae.
GGCGACCUCGGGCUAUGUUGGAGCUCUGAGGGCGGGCUGCGGGGCGACCUCUCCCAGCUAAGCCUUCACGAUCACCCUUCCCACUCGCAAUGUUUGGGCGCGUGCUGAAUAGGAGUACCACAGUCUAGAAGAGAGACUGAUUGCUGUGACAGAUCAAGGACACGUUCACCCAUCACAAGGGCUAAAAGAUAAGAUGUCUUGGAGGACACUCCUAAUUCUAUUAGAGCUGGAAUUUCUGGAGAUAGAAUCUGAAAAUCUGCUUUUUUGAGAAGUAACCCAAGUGAUAUUCACACUGAAGUUUAAGAAGCACUGGGCUAGGAACCCAAACUCUCUUUUCCAUCAAAACAUCUCCUCAUAGGACUAAGGUUAUGAGAAAUGGGGGCAGGCAGAGAGAUGAAACAAAACAUUGAAUCAAUUCAUAUUGACUGUGUUGUUUGUGUCAAGCAAUGUGUUUCCCAAGUAUAGAUUGGUUAGAUAGCUAGUUGAAAGUCAGGCUUUGAGAAUCAGGCUUCAGGACCUUCUAGAAAACCAUCAUGAUAAUAUUGACUUUGAACAGAAUGCCACUAAAUCUGGCACAGUAAUGCACACAUUCAAGGAAGCUGAGGCAGAAGAAAUGUGAAUUUGAGGCCAGCUUAGGCAAUACAGUAAGGCUCUAUUUAAAAAAAAAAAAAAAAAAAAAGAAUUCUAGCAAGAAGGAAGGGGUAUUUUUGGGUUUUCAUUUAUCCAUCUUUCUCAAUACAGGAGUGACCUAGAGAGUAUAUGACCUAUUGUAAGUGAUUCUACGUAGGUAGAGAAAUAAUAUAAAGACAGUGUAUUGGCUACUUUUUUGUUGCUGUGAUAAAAUACCACAAUCAAAAGCAACUCUAAGAAGAAAUAGUUUAUUUUAGCUUGUGGUUCCAGAGGGAUAGAGCCCAUUUUGGUGGAAAGGCAUAGCAACAGGCAGAAAGAGUGGAUCAUAUCUUCAUGUACACGUGAGAAGCAGAGAGGGAUCAAGCAGGACAUGAGUGCUGUAGACCUUCAAAUCCUGCCUCCACGAUGUGAUUCUUCCAGCAAAACUCUUCUCCUGAAGACUCCAUAACAUCCCCUGACAGCACUACCAACUGUGAGUCAAGUGUUCAAAAGCACAAAGCCUAUUGGAGACAUUCCUCAUUCAAACAAACACUGUUGGAUUCUACUGAACUGUUAGGUAACAUUGUAAAGAAAGGAUAAAACCAUUUAUGUUUAUUUAUUAAAAUUUAUGUAAAUGUACAUGCAUUUAUAUGUGUUUAUAUAUGCCAGUCAUAUGCAGAUGCCUUCAGAGGCCGAAGGGCGAUGGGUCUCCUGGAUUUGGAGUUAUAGGCAGUUGUGAGCCAUGCAAUAUGGAUUCUGGGAACCACUUGAGCCAUCUCUUCAGGGCCAGUAUAUAAUCAUGUGGAACUGGGAAAACCAAUGCUAGUCUACUGAUGCUGCUGAUGGAAUCAUAGCUAGGCUACAUUCAGGGCUUCUAAACAAUUUUGGGUCAGUUAUUCUAAACAAACCAAAACAAAAGAAAAAAAAACUUUUGAAAACCUUGUUCUUCCACUUGGCAGUCAAAUAAAAAUGACCUCUGUUUGGGACUGUACCAGAUUCUCUUUAAUUGAUUGCUUCCCUUUCCUGGGCCCUGCAGUCUCACAGCCAGAGAAGCCAGUGAUGAAAUAUUCAGCAUUGGGAUGAUAUUUGAUGUAUAAUUAAGUAGGAUGCAUCUAGCAGUUCAAUUUUAUAGAUCUUUAA